CCCACUGAUUAGCAUAAGCCCUACCCGUUC
Molecule: non-coding RNA, 30 nt
Filed under: Mus musculus (house mouse)
Lineage: Eukaryota; Metazoa; Chordata; Mammalia; Rodentia; Muridae
Source: RNAcentral